RNAcentral lists this ribosomal RNA (380 nucleotides) under uncultured eukaryote. RNAcentral describes it as "partial 18S ribosomal RNA". It matches the Rfam family "Eukaryotic small subunit ribosomal RNA", at positions 592 to 976 of the family's 1831-position model. The record is from RNAcentral.
CAAUAGCGUAUAUUAAAGUUGUUGCAGUUAAAAAGCUCGUAGUUGGAUUUGUGGCGUACGGUGUGUUCCGGGCACUUGUUGUCUGAGUAACCUGCUGUUGCCAUCCUUGGGUGGAACCUGUGUGGCAUUAGGUUGUCGUGCAGGGGAUGCCCAUCAUUUACUGUGAAAAAAUUAGAGUGUUCAAAGCAGGCUUAUGCCGUUGAAUAUAUUAGCAUGGAAUAAUGAGAUAGGACUUUUUUGCUAUUUUGUUGGUUUGCGCAAAGAGGUAAUGAUUAAUAGGGACAGUCGGGGGUAUUCGUAUUCCAUAGUCAGAGGUGAAAUUCUUGGAUUUUUGGAAGACGAACUACUGCGAAAGCAUUUACCAAGGAUGUUUUCAUUAA